Molecule: ribosomal RNA, 520 nt
Filed under: uncultured Entrophospora
Lineage: Eukaryota; Fungi; Glomeromycota; Glomeromycetes; Entrophosporales; Entrophosporaceae
Description: SSU rRNA
Rfam family: Eukaryotic small subunit ribosomal RNA
Source: RNAcentral
AGCAGCCGCGGUAAUUCCAGCUCCAAUAGCGUAUAUUAAAGUUGUUGCAGUUAAAAAGCUCGUAGUUGAAUUUCGGGAUUGACGUGAUGGUCAUGCCUUAAGGGGUAUGAACUGUUACUGUUGAUUUCUCACCUUCUGGAGAAACUUGAUGUCCUUUAUUGGGUGUCUUGCGGAUCCAGGACCUUUACCUUGAAAAAAUUUAGAGUGUUUAAAGCAGGCAUUUUUGCUCGAAUACAUUAGCAUGGAAUAAUAGAAUAGGACGGCAUGGUUCUAUUUUGUUGGUUUCUAGGAUCACCGUAAUGAUUAAUAGGGAUAGUUGGGGGCAUUAGUAUUCAAUUGUCAGAGGUGAAAUUCUUGGAUUUAUUGAAGACUAACUACUGCGAAAGCAUUUGCCAAGGAUGUUUUCAUUAAUCAAGAACGAAAGUUAGGGGAUCGAAGACGAUCAGAUACCGUCGUAGUCUUAACCAUAAACUAUGCCGACUAGGAAUCAGACGAUGUUAAUUUUUUAAUGACUCGUUUG